GGGAAUCAUGGCUUAACCAAUUGGAUACACACAUUUUGGGGGGACACAAUUCAAUCCACGACACCUAUCAUAAAGAAAGGAAUAGCUAAGAGCAUAAGACAGAGCAGGAGGGUUUGCCCCAGCACUUGUCAAAGCUUUGCCAUGCCUCAGACCUAGCUCCUCAGCUAACAUCUAGUAACUGUGUGACCUUGGGCAAAUUGUUUAUUCAAUAUGUGAUGCCAUUUUUUCAUCUUUAAAAUAAAGGUAAUAAUAGCUGCCCUACAAACAUCAAAUAAAAUAAUUUAUGAAGGCACUUUGAAAACUGUAAAGCAGUUUAACAUUUGCAUAUUGUAAUUAUAUAUAUUGCAUACGGUUGUAUAAUAUUGUCAUUAUAUUAUUACUAUCAAACAUAAUUAUUAAAUCUCAGAACAAACAACAAAAGCCCUGAGAAGCUGAGGAAACAAAUAGCAGACAAGCCUCCAGUACAAACAGAGAAGGAUAAAUUCACAGUGGGAACAUGGAAUAAGGACAAGUAAGGUGAAGUGCAGGCUGUUUAUAUUUUGGGAGGUUUUACUGGAAGUGCAUGUGCCGGAAAACACAGCUUUCAAGCCAAUGAGCAUAAUCAUGGAAUUUCUUGCCAAGAAUGAGAUCUUAGAGGAGGGGACUUCCAAGUUUUUCUUUCUUUCACAAUUUUAGGGUUUUUUCGGGCUUUGUUUUUGUUUUAAAUAAGGUGUAAGAUCUGGGACUACAUUCCACUUCUUGCAAAUUGUGCACAGCAAGUGUGCGGUGACCUUUUUUCCCCCUCAGAUUUUUAUCUCCUGUACAUUCCCAUGGAGUCUACAGGAAUCAACAUCAACAGCAGACCCCGGGAGCCAUCAGAGAUGAGAGAGAAAGAAAGAAUUCUCUGUGAAAUAGGACGUUCAUCACACGAUCCAGGAGAGAGAAGAAUUUCACACUGACUUAAAGAAAAAGCAUCUUUAUAUAAUGACUCCUUUAAUUAAAAAGGAUAUAAAAGUGUGUUUAAAGAGAUCGAUUGAAUUUUUCAUUUUAAUGGUAUAUUACUCUGUGAUUUUUUUAUGAUAACAUAAACGAGUCCUUAGAAUGCUGUUCUGACUUGUGUAAUGAUAAUAGAUAAGGUCCAAAAUGACAUUCCAGCAUACUCCCCCACAAAAUAGCCUUUCAUUGA
Molecule: long non-coding RNA, 1165 nt
Organism: Loxodonta africana (African savanna elephant)
Lineage: Eukaryota; Metazoa; Chordata; Mammalia; Proboscidea; Elephantidae
Exons: 2
Source: RefSeq, a predicted model, not a curated record